UAAUGCUCUUAAAAGAAAGAGAUUUUUCUUCUUCAACAUCUUCUAGAGCUUCGAUGGCCUUGUAUUGGCAAGAGAAAUCGGAAAAAGGGCAUGAAGGUUGUGUGAUAUCCACUUGGACGUUUGACCUCUCACAAAUGUCAUGAAUUCGACACCAAUGAAGACUUCUUCAGCUUCAACCUGCUCCGACUAAUACCAGCUCAAAUUUUGAGCUCAAAGAGCUAAUACCACUACAUCAACCCUUGAAUCUGAAAGGUGCCAAGUUAUUCAGAUCAGUGACAUUACUAUUCAUGUCUUCAGUACCUUCCAAGACUGAUGCAUCAUCCCUUUGACACAUUAUCUUAUUAAUGUUUGUAUUAAUGCUAUGUUUCCCAUCACCCUUCCUGUGAUAUGUGAUAAAAGCUUUAGUGACCCACUCUUUAGUGGAUGA
Long non-coding RNA from Solanum tuberosum (potato), 427 nucleotides. RefSeq lists it as uncharacterized. NCBI's taxonomy places the organism in Eukaryota, Viridiplantae, Streptophyta, Magnoliopsida, Solanales, Solanaceae. The record is from RefSeq and is a predicted model, not a curated record. The transcript has 3 exons.